UACGGAGACUGCGAGCGUUAUUCGGAUUCACUGGGCGUAAAGGGUGUGUAGGCGGCAAGGUAUGUCAGGUGUGAAAUCCCGAAGCUCAACUUCGGAACUGCGCCUGAAACUACUUUGCUAGAGUAUCGGAGAGGUAAGCGGAAUUCCUAGUGUAGCGGUGAAAUGCGUAGAUAUUAGGAGGAACACCAAUGGCGAAGGCAGCUUACUGGACGAUCACUGACGCUCAAACACGAAAGCGUGGGUAGCAAAACGG
This 253-nucleotide unclassified non-coding RNA is filed under the name uncultured Verrucomicrobiota bacterium. RNAcentral describes it as "uncultured Verrucomicrobia bacterium contains 16S-23S intergenic spacer region". It matches the Rfam family "Bacterial small subunit ribosomal RNA", at positions 524 to 776 of the family's 1533-position model. Lineage: Bacteria; Pseudomonadati; Verrucomicrobiota. The record is from RNAcentral.